CCUGCGCAGCAGAACCGAACCGACAGGUUCCGGCAGAGCGGCCCCUGAGGGCCGCGUGCGACUGUCAAUGUGAGCGGAUCCCGCCGCAGCGCGCGGAGCGGCCAUGGAUGCUGAGGCCCGCUGCACGCAGCACGGAGUCGCAGCCCUACCGGUACGGGCAGCCCCGGACCGAAUCGAACCGAACCGAACCGGACCGGACCAGGGAAACGAACAUGAACCAAACUCACCGAUCAGGAGAGGCUGUGAUGUGAGCGGAGCAGCAGAGGAGCAGUGGAGGAGCAGGAAGAGGAAGAGGAGGAUGGGCUGAGGAGGGGGAGGGGCUGAGCAGGGCGGCUCUUACGUCACCCUUUUAUCCUUCCUCCCACCAGCUUAACUGUACAGACGGCCCCAUAGAGAGGAAAACCACUUCCUUCCCUUUGCAGCCUGCAUGAAGGACAAAGUACGGAAGCUCAGAAGGUCCAUCUCUACAUGGCUCCUGCAGAUCUUGCCUCUGGGCUCCUCUCACACAGUCGAUGACCUGGAGUGGCCCUUAGAAAUGAAGAACCCAUGUUUUCACAAUCUGAGGCCCACAUAGUUUCACUCAUUCAUGUUUUCCUUUUUCUGGAGACGUUGAAUAAAUUCUGCAGGAUUCCAACAAAUCAA
Molecule: long non-coding RNA, 642 nt
Organism: Cyprinodon tularosa
Lineage: Eukaryota; Metazoa; Chordata; Actinopteri; Cyprinodontiformes; Cyprinodontidae
Exons: 2
Source: RefSeq, a predicted model, not a curated record